Molecule: long non-coding RNA, 283 nt
Organism: Sinocyclocheilus grahami
Lineage: Eukaryota; Metazoa; Chordata; Actinopteri; Cypriniformes; Cyprinidae
Exons: 2
Source: RefSeq, a predicted model, not a curated record
ACACACACACACACACACACACACACACACACACACACACACACACACACACACACUGAACAGUAUUGGACAGGUGCAAGCAGCAGCAUUCUCUUCCUGUGGUCCAGAGCGUGGACUUAGUCCAUGCAACAAAAAAAAUAGUCACUUAAUGAUCUGAAAACAGUCAUCAGUUAUGAAUCCUACACAAAACAACACUAAAGAGGACACAAGGAGCAAGUUUUCAAUUUCCUAAAGCAAUGUCAAUAUCCCUAUAGUCUUAAAGAUCAGAUUUGGCAACUCAACA